RNAcentral lists this transfer RNA (72 nucleotides) under Candidatus Woesebacteria bacterium. RNAcentral describes it as "tRNA-Trp". It matches the Rfam family "tRNA". From Rfam's summary of the family: Transfer RNA (tRNA) molecules are approximately 80 nucleotides in length. Lineage: Bacteria; Candidatus Woeseibacteriota. The record is from RNAcentral.
AUAUCCUUAGCUCAAUGGUAGAGCGACUAUCUCCAAAGUAGUGGGUUGUGGGUUCAAGUCCUACAGGAUGUG